AACGGUCUUUUGGUUUUGUUUUGUUAAAUAAAGUACACAAAUUCUGAUCUCACUCGACCUCGUCAUUGUCUCAUCAUGGAUAUGAAGUAUCAAUCAUUGUUGUCUUGGUUGGGAGCCCUCUGUAAUUUUUGGAGGUGCUUGAGUGAUGAUGAUUGACUUAGGAUGUUCCAGCAGCGAAGCCACGGGCAGCAUUUUGAUGAAGCACCUGGUUUUUGUCCAUUGGUUGUGGCCAUUUGAUGUCUUCAGAUGUGCAUUAUUCGGUUCAUAAAGGUAUGGAUGCCUUUAUUUUAGAUCAAGUCCUAUGACUUGGUCAUGUCAAUUUGAGUCUUUUUUAUGAGUAAUGCAAGUGGUGCUGUCAUUCAUUAUGAUCCAGGCUUGUCUUGAGCAGGUUGUCACACUGCUCGGUGCUGGACCGAGGGGCAUAAGCCGGGACAAUAGUGAUAAAUUUAAUGUCUGUUGUUUGGUUCAAGUGGUUCCAAGAUACUAGAGCUGCUUGGCAUGUUGGUUAUGCCUAGUUGUUGUGCACCCCAAUGUCGUACGAAACACUCCCAACAUUCUUACCCAGCCUAGUCUCAUCUGUUGAUGCUUCUCCUGGUUAGAGGGCUCAGAUGUGGAAACAGUUUCAUGAUCUCUCAUCUGUUGAUGCUUCUCCUGGUUAAGAGGGCUCAGAUGUGGAAAUAUGUGCUCAAUAAGAUUGUGAAGUCUGAAUGUGCCAGCUACCUUAACAGAUUCCAUCUAGUCGAAAUCGUGCACUGCAUUCUAUUUUGCUGGUUUUUUUAUUUGCAUAAACUAUUUGUCACUAAUAAAACUUUAAUUUGGGGGAAUAUCUUUCCUAAUUUGUACCUUUUGUAGUUCAUUUUUUCAUUAAAAAUAAUGUUUGCGUCCA
Molecule: long non-coding RNA, 886 nt
Organism: Rhodamnia argentea
Lineage: Eukaryota; Viridiplantae; Streptophyta; Magnoliopsida; Myrtales; Myrtaceae
Exons: 2
Source: RefSeq, a predicted model, not a curated record